UACGUAGGGUGCGAGCGUUGUCCGGAAUUAUUGGGCGUAAAGAGCUCGUAGGCGGUGUGUCGCGUCGGCCGUGAAAACCUGCAGCUUAACUGUGGGCUUGCGGUCGAUACGGGCAUCACUGGAGUUCGGCAGGGGAGACUGGAAUUCCUGGUGUAGCGGUGAAAUGCGCAGAUAUCAGGAGGAACACCGGUGGCGAAGGCGGGUCUCUGGGACGGUACUGACGCUGAGACGCGAAAGCGUGGGGAGCGAACAGG
This 254-nucleotide ribosomal RNA is filed under the name uncultured bacterium. RNAcentral's name for it is "partial 16S ribosomal RNA". It matches the Rfam family "Bacterial small subunit ribosomal RNA", at positions 524 to 776 of the family's 1533-position model. The record is from RNAcentral.